AAUAGAUACCCUGGUAGUCCAUGCCGUAAACGAUGAGUACUAGCUGUCUGGGGUAUCGACUCCCUGGGUAGCGCAGCUAACGCGAUAAGUACUCCGCCUGGGGACUACGGCCGCAAGGCUAAAAACUCAAAGGAAUUGACGGGGGCCCGCACAAGCAGCGGAGCGUGCGGUUUAAUUCGAAGCUACGCGAAGAACCUUACCAGGGCUUGACAUGACCCUGACCGCCGGUGAAAGCCGGUUUCCCUUCGGGGCAGGGCCACAGAUGCUGCAUGGCUGUCGUCAGCUCGUGCCGUGAGGUGUUGGGUUAAGUCCCGCAACGAGCGCAACCCUCGUCGUGUGUCGGAUUUCUCACACGAGACUGCCCGGAGCAACCGGGAGGAAGGCGGGGAUGACGUCAAGUCAGCAUGGCUCUUACGUCCUGGGCUACUCGCACGCUACAAUGGGCAGUACAGACCGUUGCGAUACCGCGAGGUGGAGCUAAUCGGACAAAACUGUCCUCAGUACGGAUUGCAGGCUGCAACUCG
Molecule: ribosomal RNA, 524 nt
Filed under: uncultured bacterium
Lineage: Bacteria
Description: bacterial SSU rRNA
Rfam family: Bacterial small subunit ribosomal RNA
Source: RNAcentral